Molecule: non-coding RNA, 70 nt
Organism: Paramuricea clavata
Lineage: Eukaryota; Metazoa; Cnidaria; Anthozoa; Malacalcyonacea; Plexauridae
Source: the annotation of a GenBank genome assembly
UAUAUGCAAUUCUAUAUGCCUAUAUUGCAGUAUUUUAAUACUGCAAUAUAGGCAUAUAGAAUUGCACUAU